AACGAACGCUGGCGGCAGGCCUAACACAUGCAAGUCGAACGAUAAGCCACCUUCGGGUGGUGGACAGUGGCAGACGGGUGAGUAACGCGUGGGAACGUGCCUUUCGGUUCGGAAUAACCCAGGGAAACUUGGGCUAAUACCGGAUACGCCCUUCGGGGAAGAUUCAUUGCCGAAAGAUCGGCCCGCGUCGGAUUAGCUAGUUGGUGGGUAAUGGCUCACCAAGGCGACGAUCCGUAG
This 237-nucleotide ribosomal RNA is filed under the name uncultured bacterium. Its description in RNAcentral is "partial 16S ribosomal RNA". It matches the Rfam family "Bacterial small subunit ribosomal RNA", at positions 29 to 286 of the family's 1533-position model. The record is from RNAcentral.